This 450-nucleotide ribosomal RNA is filed under the name uncultured bacterium. RNAcentral's name for it is "bacterial SSU rRNA". It matches the Rfam family "Bacterial small subunit ribosomal RNA", at positions 354 to 796 of the family's 1533-position model. The record is from RNAcentral.
GUGGGGAAUUUUGGACAAUGGGGGCAACCCUGAUCCAGCCAUUCCGCGUGAGUGAAGAAGGCCUUCGGGUUGUAAAGCUCUUUCGGCAGGAACGAAACGGUGAGCUCUAACAUAGCUCGCUAAUGACGGUACCUGAAGAAGAAGCACCGGCUAACUACGUGCCAGCAGCCGCGGUAAUACGUAGGGUGCGAGCGUUAAUCGGAAUUACUGGGCGUAAAGCGUGCGCAGGCGGUUGUGUAAGACAGGUGUGAAAUCCCCGGGCUUAACCUGGGAACUGCGCUUGUGACUGCACGGCUAGAGUAUGGCAGAGGGGGGUGGAAUUCCACGUGUAGCAGUGAAAUGCGUAGAGAUGUGGAGGAACACCGAUGGCGAAGGCAGCCCCCUGGGCCAAUACUGACGCUCAUGCACGAAAGCGUGGGGAGCAAACAGGAUUAGAAACCCUUGUAGUCC